GAUUUCUGGUUCGGCGCAAUAGGCCCGCCUCGGUUCACGAGGUUGCGUGCCGUUUGCGCCAUCCAUCCUUCGAGAAAACACUUCUGCCCUUCACUGGGUUGGAUGUGCUAUCUCGAUCUUUUACUUUGAAAAAAUUAGAGUGUUUCAAGCAGGCUUUAUGCUAUGAAUACAUUAGCAUGGAAUAAUAAUUUAGGACUUCGGUUCUAUUUUGUUGGUUUCUAGGACUGAAGUAAUGAUUGAUAGGGAUAGUUGGGGGUGCUAGUAUUCAGCGGCCAGAGGUGAAAUUCUCGGAUUCGCUGAAGACUAACUUAUGCGAAAGCAUU
This 323-nucleotide ribosomal RNA is filed under the name uncultured cercomonad. RNAcentral describes it as "SSU rRNA". The stretch from base 107 to 323 matches the Rfam family "Eukaryotic small subunit ribosomal RNA", at positions 738 to 955 of the family's 1831-position model. Lineage: Eukaryota; Cercozoa; Cercomonadida; Cercomonadidae. The record is from RNAcentral.